Homo sapiens (human) is the source of this 2068-nucleotide long non-coding RNA. Ensembl annotates it as long intergenic non-protein coding RNA 1606. The record is from Ensembl. Lineage: Eukaryota; Metazoa; Chordata; Mammalia; Primates; Hominidae.
UGGUUGAGGUGCGCAUGCGCACUGGCACCUAACGGCUCUUCUUCGAGUCUUCUCAGAGGUUGGAGAUUCCCUGUCUUCUCCAACCUCUGCCAAGUCUUCAGAGAGGUUGGAGUGCGCCUGUCGGAGGUACUAGACCCCAGAUGAGGAUCUCAGGAAGAUCCACAAAGCUGCGUCCAGGGGAACGAACGUGUGGAAGCUGCAGCGGAGCCUCCUGCUCAAGAGUAAAGGACCGGUCUGAAACCUACAAGAACAGGACACAUAUUGCUUGUCUCUGAACUUCUCAGCUGCCUGCAGAUCUUCCUGUUUUUCAGCUGCAGUUAGGGUUUGUCUGAGGAGAAGCAUAACAUCCCUCCAGGCCAAAUGCUCCACAAAUAAAUGUGUUGAAUGAAUGAACAAAUGAAUAAGCGAAGUGAAUGGAACAUCAAACUGCAUAAAAAUAUAUUUAUUCAUAAAUGAGAGGUGAUGAUUGCCAACAUAUCAUAAUCAGACUCUGACCUUGGUUACUUAUGAGUUUGACAACGAAGAGGAAAGAGGAUCAGGGUCGGCUUUGUUGCCCACUUGGAGUGUAGUGGCACAACCUUGGCUCACUGCAACCUUCUCCUGAAGUACAUAUUAGCUCACCUGGGCUCAAGUGAUCCUCCCACCUCAGUCUUUUGAGUAUCUGGGAUUAUUGGCAUGUGCCACCAAGCCUUGCUAAUUUUUGUAUUUUUUGUAGACACAGGAUUUUGCCACGUUGGCCAGAUUUGUCUUGAACUCCUAAGCUCCAGUGAUCCACCCACCUUGGCCUCCCAAAGUGCUAGGAUUACACGUGUCACCAUCGUGGCCAACCAGCAAGCUCUCUUUUAAUGAUUCAGAGUCUCAGGCCAUAGCAGUAUAAGUAUCAAAACAUCUAUUCCCAACUUGGAGUUGAGAUUUCUAAUACGAAUUCUAUUUUCUCCAUAAUCAUAAAAUAGCAUCAGGAAAAGUCUCUUGACAUCUUAAAAUACAUAUCACUGGAAAGUAGAUCUUUUUGUCCUUCAGAUAAACAUACUGUAAAAUUUGAAAUGAAAAUUAUUCUUUGUACCACCAUUCUGAUUUUACCCAGGGUUAACACAAAAGUUAUAGCAGUACAUGAAGCUCUGAGGCUUCAAUGGGUGUAGAUAUAGACAUCCAAACCUAUAAUUUUACAUUAAUCAGAAUACUAUUCAUAUAAAUCACAAAUGGCAAAACCAUUUCUGAAGGUAUUUGGUUUUAUAGAUUAUAAAAUUAAACUUCCUUAUAAUUGUGUCCAAACUGAAAUAUGCUUCCUGUACAAAAAAGCUUUCUUCUAACAGUAAAGGCCUCCUCCCAACCCACCCGACACAUACACACACACACACACACACACACACACACACACACACACACGAAGAGAGAGAGAGAAUUUAGAGCACUGAUCUUUUCUCUCUUAGACUAAUUAUUUUAACAUUAUUUUCAGCCACUUUAUUAAUUGUGGGGUUAAGGGUAGGAUAGAUCUAAUGCCCAUUUCACAUGUGUUGCAACAUCAGAGAUUAUGGUUUUCAUUAAAAACAUCAGAGCUAAAUUCCUUUUCAAAAAAGACAUUGUUACUGUUAGUACCUUGGGGAAUGUUGUAGUCUUAUGAAUGCUGAUACGUUUAUUUGAGCCAAUUGAAUAUUAUCUCUAAUAUAAACUAUAAUUUACUGUGUGAUUCCUCUUCCUGUUUUACCUAUAUAUACUCAAAGUGAAUGAUUGUGUUUAGUGAACAUUUCUUUAGGUAAUAAAAAUUAAUUUCAUUUAAGAAAGAAGUACAAAAUAGUUAUUAGAGCAAACUUUGGUAUUUGUAAUUUUGAAGUUACAUACUUUUGAAAUAAACUUGGGCUUUCAUGCCAUGUUGGGUUUGAGGAAGAUAGCAAAUGUAUAAAUUGAGCUCUCUAGUCAUAACCUUGCUAUAUGUAUUCCUGCUCAUUAAAAUACUUUGCGCCAGCAAAAAUGAUUUCCAACAUAUGUGUUUUGGAUGUAAUUAAGUAACUGUAUAAAACUAAGUAUGUUUUUUCUCCUUUCCCCAGUGACUGGAAAACUUUCAUACUUU